Molecule: long non-coding RNA, 376 nt
Organism: Rosa rugosa (rugosa rose)
Lineage: Eukaryota; Viridiplantae; Streptophyta; Magnoliopsida; Rosales; Rosaceae
Exons: 3
Source: RefSeq, a predicted model, not a curated record
CUAGACGCCUCCGACCCCCUUCACGAUAAAGGUUCUCUCUCUCUCUCUCUCUUCGGCACGGCUGCACGGGCCCUCUAUUCUCAGUCGCCGGUGACAUUGUUGAUUUGCUACCUCGCUGUCGAAGGCUCGAACUCUUCACUCUUGGUUUGCUCUCUUCGACUCUUCCUCAAGUUGUGAUUCUGUGAAGCUCGGUGACUCAAGCUUGGAGAAAUUUGUGUUCGAUUUCUGGGUUCAAGUUCGGUGAUUCUUCAAGCUCAAUUUCUGGGAGGAUGCUGUGAAACAACUACAAAGUCUGCAGAAAGAAAUUCAGGAUUCAAUGAAUGAGCUUGAGGAGAUGAGACCUCUGUAUGAGAAUCAAGUCAUGAGGGAAAAGGAG